CAAUCGUUAAUCUUCGCACAUUUUAGUGGCUAUUAAUGGUAACAAAUCUUGAUUCAGCUUUAGAACCAAUGUAUCCUCCAAGGAGCCACUCGAGAGUCCCAUUCUAUUAUUGCUAAGAAUGAGUUUAAGCGCACUGAACGCUCGUUCCACGCUGACUUGUGUUGAAGGGGCUAGCAAAAUAACCAUUGCAACCGUAUAUAAGGGAGAAGUGAACCUUUGGCAUUCCCAGAACUUGAGCAAAUCAAAUUGGCUUUGCGUACUGUUUGGUUCUUGAAUAAUAGUAACUUUCUCACGCAUUUCUAGUUUCUUCAAUUCUAUUAGCAAAUUGUUUGAGCUUGACGCUGAAACACCAAAGUAUUCUUCUUCGAAAAAUUGCGAUAACGUUUCCUCAAUAAAACUAUUCGAAGUACUCUGGGUUCCAGCGGAGGCUGCUUCAGCCUGCGGUUGCUCGACUUUUCUCCCUUGAAGCUUGGAAAUUUUUUCAUCUAGACGCAGAAUGAAAUCCUGGAAACAAUAAAAAUAAUUAUUACUUGCACUUUAAAAAUGAGAAAAACAACCAGGAGCCGAUUUUAGAAUGCAUAUUGUUAUAUUUAUGGGAUCAUGUACUAAUUUGAACAACCAGCUCGAAAUUUUAAUACCUAAACAACAGAAAGAAGGUUAAGUGAGCUAAAUCGGGAGAAAAAUAUCUACUCGUAAGUCCCGCCCCAAAUUGUACUAUUUCAUUAAAAUCGAUCAAAGUAGUCCCCUACAUUCUGACCCUCUCACUGUCAAAUUUUUUCCUCGCAGAAGUAUUUUGGAUAUCAUCGAGAUCGGACUGCAAAACGGUGUGGUCCUAAUUCCCUGAGGUUGCAACGGUUUGCGGUUUGGUGUAGAUCAUAUCUCUUCCGUACGAUGAUCUUUGGGUUUAGCGAGCUAUGAAUUUUGCUUCUGACUGAAUAAUUCCUGGAGUUCAAGUCUUCGGAGUAUCGAGCUCAUAGUAAACGAUUGGAGUAACGACAUUAAGUCACUAAGUCUUUUCGAACCUGCAAAAUUAAACCGUGGAUCAAGAUACAAGCACGAUUUAAAUUGAAGAGUUUCGUCAUUGCCUUCAAUUGUACGAAGCAAGUAAGCCAGUGCGCGUAAAAUUCUGAUAACGGCACAUGAUGUUUUUGCAAGUGUAAUGUUAAAAUAAACGCAGGCUCAAAUGCCUCACAAAAAGUUUCUAGAAACUUCCAAUAUGGCGAAAAAUCUAUAAAGAAGACGAGU
This is a long non-coding RNA of Topomyia yanbarensis, 1245 nucleotides long. RefSeq lists it as uncharacterized. Lineage: Eukaryota; Metazoa; Arthropoda; Insecta; Diptera; Culicidae. The transcript is spliced from 3 exons. The record is from RefSeq and is a predicted model, not a curated record.